AUCUUGAGAGUUUAUAAAAUAUUUUUUUUUUUUUUUUUUUUUUUUUUUUUGAGACGGAGUCUUGCUCUGUGCCCCAGGCUGGAGUGCAGUAGCGCGAUCUCGGCUCACUGCAAGCUCCGCCCCCCCGGGUUCACGCCAUUCUCCUGCCUCAGCCUCCCGAGUAGCUCGGACUACAGGCGCCCGCCACCUCGCCCGGCUAAUUUUCUUAUAAAUUUUAUAUGUUUAUUGUUAUAUAUCAGAAGUGUAAUGCUUCACUGGUACCCUUCAGUAUUCCUAAUAAUUCUCAAUUGCAGUUUCUACUAUGUAGUAAUACUUUGUAUUUUAUUCAAAUCAACCUUUAUAUAUAUAUUUUUGUUUGUUUGUUUGCUUUUCUAACUCUCUGAGAAUAGAUUUUCAGCAUUUAAAAAGCUAUUGCAUUUAUUGAAGACUAGUGGCUCUCAAUUGAUAAUGUACACAAAACUCAACUGGGAAACAUUUAAAAUGUAUGUUUCUUAUUCUCAGCAGAAAUUCUGACUCAACAGGAUUUGGGUUAGAAACUGAGAAUUUUCAUUUUUCACACAUAUGUCAACUGGUUGUGAUGCAAUAGGUCUUCCAUUAAUCCUUGGAAAACAGCCUUGGGCCAUCCAUUUUGAUGAUUUUUAAUUUCCUGAAUUGUUAGUUUUUUUCAUGUGCUAGAAAACUUUCCACUAGUCUGCAUUAUUUGGGGGAAGUGGAGUAAGUAGUCCAGGCAAGGUUAGUAUUCUUUGUUACUUGAACUUAAUUACUUGAUUUUGCUGUUUAAUUACUUUGUUAUUUCAGAAGAUGUAGUAGACUUUUUUAAGGUAUUAAAAAUAAAUAAUUCUUGAAAUUCCCCUGGCUUCUGUGACACUACCUACCUCUUAAUUCUUCUUGGUUUCUCUUUCUGCACUUCUGUCUUAAGCCCAUUUUCUCUUCCCAUCAUAUACAUUUUUUCCUAGGUGACAUCAGUCUGCAGUUUCAACUAUGGUCAAUAUAAUGACAACCCCUAAUUUCUG
This 1013-nucleotide long non-coding RNA is filed under the name Papio anubis (olive baboon). RNAcentral's name for it is "lncRNA (ENSPANG00000045926.1)". The record is from RNAcentral. Lineage: Eukaryota; Metazoa; Chordata; Mammalia; Primates; Cercopithecidae.